RNAcentral lists this ribosomal RNA (293 nucleotides) under uncultured bacterium. RNAcentral describes it as "partial 16S ribosomal RNA". The record is from RNAcentral.
GGACUACCGGGGUAUCUAAUCCCGUUUGCUCCCCACGCUUUCGUGCCUGAGUGUCAGAAAUGAGCCAGUAGACUGCCUACGCCAUCGGUGUUCCUCCUAAUAUCAACGGAUUUUACCCCUACACUAGGAAUUCCAUCUACCUCUCUCAUCCUCUAGCUUGGUAGUUCAAACAAUGUAUAUGCGGUUGAGCCGCACGCUUUCACUGUUUGCUUUCCAUGCCACCUACGCAACUCUUUACGCCCAGUAAUUCCGGAUAACGCUUGGAUCCUCCGUAUUACCGCGGCGGCUGGCAC